UCAAGUUAUUAAGGGUGCAGGGCGGAUGCCUUGGCACUAGGAGCCGAUGAAGGACGUGAUAAGCUGCGAUAAGCUUCGGGGAGUUGCACGUAAACUUUGAUCCGAAGAUUUCCGAAUGAGGAAACUCACUUAGAGUAAUGUCUAAGUAUCAUUAAGUGAAUACAUAGCUUAAUGAGGGGAACUCAGGGAACUGAAACAUCUAAGUACCUGAAGGAAGAGAAAGAAAUUCGAUUCCGUAAGUAGCGGCGAGCGAACACGGAUUAGCCCAAACCAAUAAAGUUUUCUUUAUUGGGGUUGCGGACAUAUCAUAACGAAGAGGUAUCGUAAUUGAAGAGGUUUGGAAAGACCCACCACAGAAGGUAAUAGUCCUGUAUGUUAAACGAGAAGACUUCAGAUAUGAUCCAGAGUACCACGGGACACGUGAAACCCUGUGGGAAGCAGGAGGGACCACCCUCCAAGGCUAAAUACUACCUAGUGACCGAUAGCGUAUAGUACCGUGAGGGAAAGGUGAAAAGAACCCCGGGAGGGGAGUGAAAUAGAACCUGAAACCCUGCACUUACAAGCUGUGGAAGCACAUUUCUUGUGUGACCGCGUACUUUUUGUAGAACGGGCCAACGAGUUACGUUAAGUAGCAAGGUUAAGCACUUAAGGUGUGGAGCCGUAGCGAAAGCGAGUUUUAACUGAGCGUUCAGUUACUUGACGUAGACCCGAAACCGGGCGACCUACCCAUGAGCAGGAUGAAGCGAAAGUAAAAUUUCGUGGAGGUCCGAACCCACGAGCGUUGAAAAGCUCGGGGAUGACUUGUGGGUAGCGGUGAAAUUCCAAUCGAGCCCGGAGAUAGCUGGUUCUCCCCGAAAUAGCUUUAGGGCUAGCCUCAAGGUGAGAGAUACGGAGGUAGAGCACUGAAUGUCCUAGGGGGUAUUGCACCUACCGAAGACUAUCAAACUCCGAAUGCCGUCAUCUUAUACUUGGGAGUCAGACUGUGGGUGAUAAGAUUCAUAGUCGAAAGGGCAACAGCCCAGAUCGUCAGCUAAGGUCCCUAAAUGUAAGUUAAGUGGUAAAGGAUGUGGGAUUGCACAGACAACCAGGAUGUUGGCUUAGAAGCAGCCACUCAUUCAAAGAGUGCGUAAUAGCUCACUGGUCGAGUGAUCCUGCGCCGAAGAUUUCCGGGGCUAAAACUUACUACCGAAGCUACGGCAUCAGUAAUGAUGGGUAGGGGAGCUUCCCAUACGGGUUGAAGCAUGACCGUAAGGACAUGUGGACAGUAUGGGAGUGAGAAUGUUGGCAUGAGUAGCGAGAUGUGGGUGAGAAUCCCACAGGCCGUAAACCCAAGGUUUCCAGGGGAAGGUUCGUCCGCCCUGGGUUAGUCGGGACCUAAGCUGAGGCCGAAAGGCGUAGGUGAUGGACAACAGGUUGAUAUUCCUGUACUACCGAUAACCGUUUGAGAGAAGGGAUGACACAGUAGGAUAAGCUAAGCACACUGUUGGUUAUGUGUGCCCAAGCAUUGAGGCAGUCAAAGUAGGCAAAUCCGCUUUGAUAAUGCUAGGAUGUGAUGGGGAGCGAAAUUUAGUAGCGAAGUAGCUGAUUUCACACUGUCAAGAAAAGUCUCUAUCGAGGUUAAAGGUACCCGUACCGCAAACCGACACAGGUGGGUGAGGAGAGUAUCCUAAGGCCAGCGAGAGAACUGUUGUUAAGGAACUCGGCAAAAUGACCCCGUAACUUAGGGAUAAGGGGUGCCACCAUCAGGUGGCCGCAGAGAAUAGGCCCAAGCGACUGUUUACCAAAAACAUAGGUUUCUGCUAAGUCGCAAGACGAUGUAUAGGAGCUGACGCCUGCCCGGUGCUGGAAGGUUAAGGGGAUCUGUUAGAGCAAUCGAAGCAGUGAACUUAAGCCCCAGUAAACGGCGGCCGUAACUAUAACGGUCCUAAGGUAGCGAAAUUCCUUGUCGGGUAAGUUCCGACCCGCACGAAAGGCGUAACGAUUUGGGCACUGUCUCAACAACAGACUCGGUGAAAUUGUAAUUCCGGUGAAGAUGCCGGAUACCUGCGACAGGACGGAAAGACCCCAUGGAGCUUUACUGUAGCUUGACAUUGGGUCUUGGUACUACAUGUACAGGAUAGGUGGGAGGCUUUGAAACCAGGACGCCAGUUUUGGCGGAGCCAUCCUUGGGAUACCACCCUUGUAGUACUGGGACUCUAACCAUAGGCCAUGAAUCUGGUCUUGGGACACUGUCAGGUGGGCAGUUUGACUGGGGCGGUCGCCUCCCAAAAGGUAACGGAGGCGCUCAAAGGUUCUCUCAGUACGGUCGGAAAUCGUACGUAGAGUGUAAAGGCAAAAGAGAGCUUGAUUGCAAGACAUACAGGUCGAGCAAGGAUGAAAAUCGGACUUAGUGAUCCGGUGGUUCUGCGUGGAAGGGCCAUCGCUCAACGGAUAAAAGCUACCCUGGGGAUAACAGGCUUAUCUCCCCCAAGAGUCCACAUCGACGGGGAGGUUUGGCACCUCGAUGUCGGCUCAUCACAUCCUGGGGCUGUAGUAGGUCCCAAGGGUUGGGCUGUUCGCCCAUUAAAGUGGUACGCGAGCUGGGUUCAGAACGUCGUGAGACAGUUCGGUCCCUAUCCGUCGCAGGCGUAGGAAAUUUGAGAAGACCUGUCCUUAGUACGAGAGGACCGGGAUGGACGUACCUCUGGUGUACCAGUUGUUCUGCCAAGGGCAUGGCUGGGUAGCUAUGUAUGGAAUGGAUAAGCGCUGAAAGCAUCUAAGCGCGAAGCCAACUUCAAGAUAAGAUUUCCCACCGCAAGGGUAAGACCCCAGAAAGACUAUCUGGUUGAUAGGUCGAAGGUGUAAGUGCAGCAAUGUAUUUAGCUUAUCGAUACUAAUAGGUCGAGGACUUGACCAA
This 2896-nucleotide ribosomal RNA is filed under the name Clostridioides difficile. RNAcentral describes it as "bacterial LSU rRNA". It matches the Rfam family "Bacterial large subunit ribosomal RNA". Lineage: Bacteria; Bacillati; Bacillota; Clostridia; Peptostreptococcales; Peptostreptococcaceae. The record is from RNAcentral.